Molecule: unclassified non-coding RNA, 540 nt
Filed under: Hevea brasiliensis (rubber tree)
Lineage: Eukaryota; Viridiplantae; Streptophyta; Magnoliopsida; Malpighiales; Euphorbiaceae
Source: RNAcentral
UAGAGAGUUCUAGUUCGGUUUUUCUUCUUUUUUGCUAGACCGUAAAGGACUUCUAAGGUUAUUAGGACUCUGAAUUAAGGUUUUUUAUACCAUAUAUAAAUUAGCAAGUUAGGAAUAAAGGGAAGAUUAAUUCUUUACAUUCAAGCAUAGCAAUUCUACCUAGGAAGAGAUCGUCUGGCAAGAGUUCUAGAGGAGAUUUCCAGCUAAAGUUCCAAAAGUCCAAUGCUGCAAAUUCUUAUUUUAAAUUCUUUUAUUCUAUUUCUUUUGAUGUUUUCUUUGUGUUUUCUUAUUCUAUGUUUAGUUGUAGAAAUCGCCAUGAAUGAGUAGUUUUUUUUAUUCUAGAGUUAGAGAUGUAGCACUUUCAAUUUAGUUAUGGAUUUGAUUUGAUUUUAUUUUAAUAAAUUUGUGUUUGUUGUUUGAUUCAAUCUCAUGUUCUUAAUGCAUGCGAUGUGAUGAGCUCCACUUAGUAUUGAUUCUAGAUAUUAAUUGAAAGACUAAAAGGUGAAGAUUAAUAUUAGAGUAAUAGGAUUUUGAACUUAG